ACUUAAAAUCAUCUUCAUCUCUAAUAACAUGAGGAUGAAUAGAAGGGAUAACAGUGAAAAAUCUGUUGCUGGCGUCAAUAAUCAAGCUUUCUUUGAUGGAAGGGUCAUGUGUGGUACUAUUUAAUAAACUCUGGAUUUCUGUCAAUGCCUCAAAACCCUUCUGGAUAUUAUUUUUGCUUAAUUUCCCAAGUGGCAUUUCUGACAUAUUAAUCUCAAAUUCCAUCAUUGCAGCCCUGUAUGCUUCCACAUUAAAGAGCAUCUUCAUCAAUUCCACAAGUGGAUGAGGAAGUUGGCUGUCUGCGCCACUCCUAUUUUUAUGCUUCAGCUGUUUGUUAACUCCGUAGUCAAUGUCCAAUGGGAAGAAUUUGCCAGGUUUCUUCUGAAAAUUCUGCUUUUGUUCCCAUGCCUCCCAUGAAUUUCCAGUUUUCUCAAGGAAUAAACGUUCAAAUUCACUGACCGCAUCUGAUUUUGACAUCUCUUCAAGUUUAAUUCCUCCAAUUUUGUC
This 505-nucleotide unclassified non-coding RNA is filed under the name Hevea brasiliensis (rubber tree). Lineage: Eukaryota; Viridiplantae; Streptophyta; Magnoliopsida; Malpighiales; Euphorbiaceae. The record is from RNAcentral.